RNAcentral lists this ribosomal RNA (331 nucleotides) under uncultured Lactarius. RNAcentral's name for it is "eukaryotic LSU rRNA". It matches the Rfam family "Eukaryotic large subunit ribosomal RNA", at positions 1 to 323 of the family's 3401-position model. The record is from RNAcentral. Lineage: Eukaryota; Fungi; Basidiomycota; Agaricomycetes; Russulales; Russulaceae.
UUGGCCUCAAAUCGGGUGAGACUACCCGCUGAACUUAAGCAUAUCAAUAAGCGGAGGAAAAGAAACUAACAAGGAUUCCCCUAGUAACUGCGAGUGAAGCGGGAAAAGCUCAAAUUUAAAAUCUGGCGGUUCUUUGCCGUCCGAGUUGUAAUUUAGAGAAGCGUCUUCCGCGUCGGACCGUGCACAAGUCUCCUGGAAUGGAGCGUCAUAGAGGGUGAGAAUCCCGUCUUUGGCACGGAUCCCUGGUGCUUCUGUGAUGCGCUCUCGAAGAGUCGAGUUGUUUGGGAAUGCAGCUCAAAAUGGGUGGUGAACUCCAUCUAAAGCUAAAUAU